This is a long non-coding RNA of Cyprinus carpio carpio, 1531 nucleotides long. The record is from Ensembl. NCBI's taxonomy places the organism in Eukaryota, Metazoa, Chordata, Actinopteri, Cypriniformes, Cyprinidae.
UGGUUGCUAGGGUUUGUAUUUGUUAGGGUGUGCAUUGCUGCCUUGUUGGUAUGCAUUUUUAUAUCUGUUCUGACUGGUUGUUAUUGGGUUGUUAAGGCUUUCUGAGUGGUUGCUAGGGUGUUGCUAGUGUUUUCCGAGUGGUUGCUAGGGUAUUGCUAAGUGGUUGCUCAUAUGUUGUAAGCAUUUUUAGCUUGUUGAUACAAGUAUGUAUUUUUCAGUCUGUUCUGUCUGGUUGCUAUUGGGUUGUUGUAGUUUUUAAAGUGGUUGCUAGGGUGUUGCUGGGUUGCUCUUAAUUGUUGCUAAGGUGUUGCCGGGUGCUUAUAUUUUUAAGAAUAUUACUCUAAUCUGCAUCUAGAAGGCAUGAAGAUAUUAAGAUAUAUUAUAAACACGAACAUUAUGAUUUUCUGCAAAGCUGCUGUGAAACAGUGUGAAAAGAGCUAUAUACAGUACAUAAAUAAAUGAUUCCAUGACCUUAGACAUCAACAUCAAAAAACGUGUUUUCUCCUCCCAUUUGAAAGCAGAUUCAUUUAUGCACAAUUAGACGCUUGCAUCCGUUUUAUCAUCAACAUUUAAUGUUGUUUUUCCUCCUCUGGUUCCUGAUUAUAUGACUGAUCUCUUGCAGUAAAGCAAAGUCCUCUGGGCCUCUGGAUUAAAUUCUAGUAUUUCCAGCCAGACCGCCACACACCCUUAUUUACCCCUCGUCCCCUUCACGCGGGGCUGCAGCGGUUCACUGAGCUCCAGGGCAGAACCUGAGCGCCGGAGCGGACAAUAGACACGCCAAACUACUAACCGCACACAAAAGAGUCGGGCUGUUCGCAGGGGGCGGAUGGGGGCAGGGUCAUGGGAAUCACCGCGAGCAGCUGGAUUGCUUUACAUGUGCAGUCAGAGAAUAAUUAGCAUCUCGCUCUCUAAGAAAAUGUCCAGUGAAUUGGCUUUGAGAUUCCGAAUUAGCCACGCAUUUCUCGUCCUGCAGCGCGGAUGUUUGUUUGAUCAGAAUGCAGAUGAGCGUCCGGCGAAGGAUGCGUUCUUAAAGAAAUGAGGAAGUUAAAAAAGAGAUUUAAGGGUUAAAACUGAAUAUAUCCACGGACAGACCGGAAACUCCUUGGAAAGACGUUUGAGGUCAUUCGUUCCUGGUUCACAUACAUUUGGCCUACGACUUUCCCAGUCACCCGGAAGGAUUUAAAGAUCAUUUUAUUGAGAUUACACUCAAAAAGAGCACUGAAACAAUGAAGCGGAGCAAAACUAGGAAAGUUAUAUUAACUCAAGUUUAAGAUUUUAGUAAAGUCGCCUGGGUCAUGUAUUCUUUUACUUUGUGUAGUUUUGAUUUUAUUUUAUGAAGAUGAGGGCAUCCAUAAUUUAACUAGAUUCUACAGAUGAUGAACUUAUGCCAAAAUACUGUAGAGUUUGAUUGGAAACACAUUCUGGACUGAUAGAAGUUAUUUUUUAUUUCCAUUCUUUUUUUUCUUCAGGCCUACAGAAGCAAUUUCUUUUUUAUUAUUAUUAGAAGCAAAUAUUAUUUUUUUAAUGAAAA